This 1131-nucleotide long non-coding RNA is filed under the name Oryctolagus cuniculus (rabbit). Its description in RNAcentral is "lncRNA (ENSOCUG00000036834.1)". Lineage: Eukaryota; Metazoa; Chordata; Mammalia; Lagomorpha; Leporidae. The record is from RNAcentral.
AUGCGGAGAUGGUGCCUGCUGGGGGGCUCCCUGAGGGCCUCACCCCCCGGGCUGGAGCUGCUGAGGGUGGAGCCUCAGGGAAGAGGGACCCCAGUGGCACCAGGUCAGCUGUGGGGGCUGGGGCUGGGCUCUGGACUGGCUGUCCCUCCCGGAUCAGCUGUGGGGACUGGGGUGGCUGUGUCUCCCGGCUCAGCUGUGGGGGCUGGGCUCUGUGCUGGCUGUCCCUCCUGGGUCAGCUGUGGGGGCUGGGCUCUGGGCUGGCUGUCCCUCCCGGAUCAGCUGUGGGGACUGGGGUGGCUGUCCCUCCCGGGUCAGCUGUGGGGGCUGGGCUCUGUGCUGGCUGUCCCUCCUGGGUCAGCUGUGGGGGCUGGGCUCUGGGGUGGCUGUCCCUCCCGGGUCAGCUGUGGGGGCUGGGCUCUGUGCUGGCUGUCCCUCCCGGGUCAGCUGUGGGGGCUGGGCUCUGGGGUGGCUGUCCCUCCCGGGUCAGCUGUGGGGGCUGGGCUCUGUGCUGGCUGUCCCUCCCGGGUCAGCUGUGGGGGCUGGGCUCUGGGCUGGCUGUCCCUCUCCUGCCAGCCCCUGGCUUCCUCUCCGGAGCAUCCUGGGUGCUUCUCCUUCACCCGAAGCCACCGUCUUCCGUCACGACUCAGGGGUUCCCUGUGGCACCCACCUUUUCCCAGGAGUGAGCCCUACCUCUCACCCGCUGCUCCAGCUCUGCCCCCCACCCUGUGUGGGUUCACAACAUCUCUUGGGGGUGCACCUGACCCUGGCAGUGCACCCCAGUGCCCUUCCCGGAGACGAGGGGCCUUGAUCCCACAGCCCUUGAAGGGCGUUCCGGCUGGCAUCGGCGUCUGGGCUGAGAUCUGUCCCCGAGCCCUGAGCACCCCCGUCCUGGGCCCCAGGGUGGACCCCAGAGUGGCUCCCUGGGCGCUUGUGUCACUGGACCCUGGAGGACCCACGUCCGGGAGGAGGGCUCGGCAGGCUCGGCUCCUCCUGCGGCUGGUGGCUGCUGGUCACCCUCGCUGCCCUGGACCCCUCCGCACACGGCUCCUCCUCUGCGUGUCCACGUGGACACCAGCCACCUGGGGCUUAGGGCCAUGUCGGGCUAAAGCUUUUCUUUUUUUUUUUUUUUAA